AACAAUGUUAUUAAACAUGUAUGUAUAAUUCAUCAAAUGACAAAGUGAUGUAGGACAGAUCUGGUAUUCUGAUAAUACCUAAUGACAGGUGGUUUAUUUAGGGUUAGAAGGCUAGGGAAAUUAUGGAAGAAUAGGGUUUAGGUAUGUAACUGGUUGAUAGGCAAUUUAGAGGCAAAAUAUGGCUCAGAAGAUGAGAUUUGGGUGUUGAGAACAGGGCUGGACGUAAGGUAGGGUUAUCAGAAUGGAAAUUGAAAGAUUAGGGAGAAAGAGAAAUAUUUUCUAGGCAUCACACCUGAGUUCCUUUUGCAUCAAUCUAAAGGUUAGAAUUGCAUCUCACAACUCAAAGAACGCAUCAAUGCUUGGAGGAAAUUGAGGAUUCUUCACUAAUGAGAAAGAGAUUUACAAUAGCAACACUAUUCUUACCUGGAUUAGGAAAUCCUUUUCCUAUUAGGAAACAAAACAAAAUGGACGGAUUUCCUAUUGGAAAACUGAACAAAAUCUAAAACUAUUAAUAAUAAUACCAGGAAAAGAUUAUAAAUAAAACCUAACAAAUAAUUAGAGUUAACAAAAAGAUCUUGGGAAACAUUAUGUAUCAAAAUAAAGCCUAAUGAAGCUUCUAAGAGGCUUUUCUUCAUAAAAAGCAUCCCAAAUCAAUGCUUGGGCCUUAGAAUCAAUUUUAAGACUCUUCUUAUAUGUCUUUAGAGGUUGCUUUGGAUGUCCUCCAUCACAAAGUGAAUUUGUUUUCAACAGAUGGAUUAUUAUCCUUGACUCUUACAGGUAGAAUAAUUUUAUUUGUUGAUGGUUGACUUUUUAGGAAGUUUACUGAACUGAAACUAUGUUCGUGUUGUUCUAGAUCUAUGCAUAUCUGGAACUCUGGAAGAGAAAAUUGUUCCUAUUUAUACACGUGCUUACACAGCAGAACUGCUUUUUGAAGCAUCAUAGUAUUUUUGUUGUCGUUUCUGCAUCUAGUAUCUUUGGAGUUACCCUGAGACACCUCACAAUCCAUUUAUCCUGGAAUAACCUAUAAACCUCCUUAGGAUACUAGAUCCCACUCUAUUUUUGUGAGACACAGUGGUCUGGUAACAAAUACUUCCAUCUCACCCAUCUUAUCUUGUUAACAAAGAAACAAAUCAGAGUUCAUAGUAUGCACUAAAUUUGAUGUUUUCAAAUUAAAGAUACAGAAGUAAUAACAAAUCUAAUCUUGGUACAAUGAGCACAAUAGCCGGAGUUAUGCUUCCACAAAAGAAUUGCCAUUCUUCUUUUCAGUAAGUAAACUCUAGAUGUUGGUGUUAUGAUUUCAGAAAGAGUAGCAAUUCAUUCUCAAAUAUAAGGAACAAGAGGAUGAAUUUGUGUUGCCUAGAGUUAGGGCUUAUCAAGUUCUUAACAAAAUCAAAUAAUAUUCCCAUCUUAAAAGAAAAGGUGUAAACUUGUAGGACCUUAGAAUGAACUCCUCCACUUCAACUAUUUGCUGCUCAUCCAGUAAAUGCCCUUUCUUUUUAAUGAACUGAGAUCAAUUUUGAAUUGAUGUUUUCUACUCAUUUUCUCUUUCCACCUUUCCUUAAAUGAGAUUCCAAUUAUGAAUGUUUUGGGGCCUUUAUCAUUCAACUGGUAUAGCAUUUCACUUGUUUUGACGACCAGGUGGAAUCAGAUCAAAUAGAAUUUUUGUUUCAGGCAUCCAGGAUCCAGCUGAUGCCAGGAUUGGGUGUUCAGUGCCAUUGGCUGAUGGGUCAAGUGCCUCCAGCAGGGGAUUGAUGCCUCUGCUGAGCAUGUAAUCAUGACAUGGUCCUUGGUUGUUUGGGUUCUUUUCCUUUAGGUGUCAGUUGAUCCUUUGACAAUUUUCAUCCCUUUUACUUGAGCAGUCGAUGGAAGGGUCAGCUGUUUUUUUCAGUUGAUUCCGUUGACAACUAUGGCCUUUACUGAGAGAACCACUAAAGAGCUGCGAAUUUAAUUUUCUCAACAACUAGAACAACAAAAGCCUUAAUCCCAUUAGGUCAGAUCAGAUUCAUGAUGCUUUGAAAGGCACGAAUUGCACUGACUGUCAGCGAAAUAACACUGCCCUCCUCUUUUAUCAGAGAUUGAAAAUGGGCUAUAAACAGGAGAAACACCUUUAACACUAGAAUUGUUGAGGGGAUUACUCAACCUGCUGGCGGAAUUUAUGAAAAAAAAGAAGCAAAUUUCAACAAAAUGAGAACAGAUAAAAAUGCUUUGUCAAAUUUUGUUAUUUUUGGUCGUAGAAGUUUUGCAAAUAAAAAAACAUAACUUACUGAAAGGAAAAAUAAAUUAGAUGUCAUAAAGAAUAUUUAAUAAACUAAAUACCAUAUUAUUUCUCAAGUAUUUCCAUGCUUAUUGAAUUCUAGAGUGAAUUUUUUUUUUUUUUAAAGUUUUCUUGUUUUUAGUUUAUUUACAUUUUUAUUUCUGUUUUCUUAUCUUUACAACAUGGAAUGUGGCAUGUGUGCCCCUUAUUUUGUUAGAUGUCUACAAGACUGGGUUUGAGGGCAAGUACCAUAUCAGAACCUAAAGCUUAUAGCAAAAAGUAUUUCGUGGUGUCCAGUCGAUGUAGAAAAGAGUAAAACAGGGCACUAUAAAUUUGAUGUCCAUAAUUAUUGAUGCGGUUUCUAGAUAAACAAUCCUCUUAGGUCUACAACAUCUAUCCGAUCUUCAAGCAGGUAAAAUCCAGCUUAACGAAGCUAUAACAUCCCACAUUGUUGUUCCCAUGGCAAAACUUUGCCGCGCAUGUGUAAGUUAAAGGUACCUGCAUCAUUAUGAUUUUGCCAAAUCUGAAAUUGAAAUAUUCUUGCCCGCUUGUCCCCUACAAGCCCUAUCCCAUGAAUGAAUGGAGAUAGAUUUUGCAAUGAAUGUUGUCUUUUCCUUAUUUUCUCCUUCCAGGCUUCCACACUUUCCCACUUAUAUGAGAUUUCAAAUUCUGAAAGUUUUGGAGCUGUUGUCAUUCAACUGGUCUAGCAUUUAAUGCGUUUCAAUGGGUAGGUGGCCUGAGACCAAAUAGAAAUUCUGUUUAAGGCGUUCAGCCUUUGCCCCAGUUGGGUGGCUAAUGCCAUCUGCUGAAGGAUGAAGUGCACCUAACGGGGACUGAUGCCUCUGCUGAUCAUGUAACCACUACUUGGUCCUUGGCCUUUUGGGUUCUUUUCCGUGAGGCUUCAUUUGAUCCUUCAGGCAAAUUUCAUCCCUUAUACUUGAGCGGUUGAUGGGUGGGUCACCACUUUUGUCCAGAUGAUUCCUUCGGCGACUAUUGCCAUUACUGAGGUAGCCUUCAAAAAGCUGAAAAUUUAAUGUUCUCAAGAACUAGAACAAUACAGGCCUUAAUUCCAUUAGAUUGGGCCCAUUGGGGUCAGAAAUUUUGCUAGACUCUUUGGAAGACGAGAAUUGUGCUAACUGUUGGCUAUGUAAUGCCACCCUCAUCUUUUGUUUGAGCUUGAGAAUGGUUAUAAAGAGGGGCAACACCUUGAACACUGGAAUUGUUAAGGGGAUAACACAACCUGCUGGCUGAGUUUAUGAUUUUUUUUUCAAUUAAAUGAAAACAGAUAAAAAAUGCUUUGUGAAAUUUUGUUAUUUUUGGUUUUAGAAGUUUCGCAAAUAAAAAAACUUAACUCUCUAAAUGGAACAAUAAAGUUAGAUGUGAUAAGGAAUAAUUAGUAAACUAAGUACAAUUUUAUUUUUCAAGCAUUUCCAUGGUUGUUUAACAUCUAGAGUGAAAAUUAAGCUUUUUUCAAUUUUUUUUUGUAUUUUUAUACUUCUUUUUUAUUGCGUGCAAAUGUGGAACAUAGCACGUGUGUGCCUUAUUUUGUUAGACGUAUACACUAUUUGGUUUGGGGACAAUUACUAUAUCAGAACCUGAAGCUUAUAGGGAAAGUAUUUCAUGGUGCCCAGUCUAUGUGGGAAAGCCUAAAACAGGGCACUGUUAAAUUGUCGUCAACAAUCCUCCGAGGCCUACAACGUCUAUCCAAUCUUUGCAAGCAGGUAGAAUACAGCUUCAUGAAGCUAUAACAUCCCACUUCAUUGUUGCCAUGGCAAAAUUUUGCCACUUAUCUUUAAGUUAAAGGCUACCUGCAUCAUUAUGAUUUUGCCAAAUCUGAAAUCGAAACACUCUUGCUGCUAAUCCGGUAAAUGUCCUAACCUUUGAAUGAAUGGAGAUAGAUUUUGAAUUGAAUGUUGUCUUCUCCUUAUUUUCUCCUUCCAUGUGUUCCCAUUUAUAUGAGUUUUCCAAUUCUAAAUGUUUUGGAGACUUAACCAUUCGUCUGAUCUAGCAUUUAAUAGUUUCAACAGACAGGUGGCCUGGGAUCAAAUAUAAAAUUUGUUUAAGGUGUUCAGCUGAUGCUCGAUCAGGUGGCUAGUGCUCCCUGCUGAUUGAUCUAGUGCCUCCAACAGGGGACUGUGAUUCCGCUGUGCUUGUAACCUUUACUUGGUCCUUGGUCAUUCAGGUUCUUUUCUGUGAGGCCACAUUCGAUCCUUUGGACAAAUUUCAUCCCUCAUACUUGAGUAUUCGAUGGAUGAUCACAGUUUUGUUCAGGUGAUUCUUUUUUUGGCGACUGUUGUCAUUUUUGGGGGAGCCAUCAAAGAGCUGGAAAUUUAAUUUUUCUCAACAGCUAGAAUAACAUAAACCAUAAUCCCAUUAGGUUGGGUUGGAAAUUUUUCAACGAUUAUUCCAACAAGAACUGGGAUGACAGUCGGCCAUGUAAUGCUGCUCUCAUCUUUUAUCCAAGCUUGAGAAUGCCUAUAAAUAGGGGAAACACCUUGAACGCUAUAAUUGUUGAGGGGAUAACUCAACCUGCUGGCUGAGUUUCUGAAAAAGGUGAAGAAACAAAUUUCAAUUAAAUGGAAACAGAUAAAAAUGCAUCGUGAAAUUUUGUUAUUUUUUGUUUUAGAAGUGCCGCAAAUAAAAAAAAUUAACUUACAAAAAAGAACAAAAAUUUUGAUGUGAUAAGGAAUAUUUAUUUCUCAAGCAUUUCCAUGCUUAUUUAACAUCUAGGGUGAAAAUUAAAAAUUUUAUUUUUUUUAAUUUUUUUUUUCUUGACGUGGAACGUGGCAUGUGGCACGUGGCACGUGUGCCCCUUCUUUUGUUAUUAUAUACACUACUUCUUUUGGGGCUAAUUACCAUAUUAGAACCUGCAGCUUAUAAGGAAAUGUAUUUCGUGGUGUCCAGUCGAUGUGGGAAAGCGUAAAACGCGGCACUAUUAAAUUGUUGUCCAUAAUUAUUGGUGCGGUUUCUAAAACAACAAUCCUCCUGGGUCUACAACAUCUAUCCAAUCUUUGCAAGAAGGUAGAAACCAGCUUAGCAAAGCCAGAACCUCCCACUUGGUUGUUGCCAUGGCAAAACUUUGCUGCUUAUGUGCAAGUUAAAGGCUUCCUGCAUCAUUAUGAUUUUGCCAAUUCUGAAAUUGAAAUACUCUUGCUGCUCAUCCAAUAAAUGCCCUAACCCUUGAACGAAUUGAGAUAGAUUUUGAAUUAAAUGUUGUCUUCUCUUAUUUUCUCCUUCCAUGCUUUCCCAUUUAUAUGAGAUUUCCAAAUUCCGAUUGUUUUAGAGACUUAAUCUUUCAUCUUAUCUAUUAUUUAAUGCAUUCCAAUGAGUAGGCUCCCUGAGACCAAAUAGAACUUUUGUUUAAAGCAUUCAGCCGAUGCCCCAAUCUUUGGCUAGUGCCAUCUGCUGAUGGAUCAAGUACCUCUAAUGGAGGACUGAUACCUCCACUGAGCUUGUAACAAUUACUUUGUCCUUGGUCGUGUUGGGACAAAUUUUCAUCCCUUAUACUUGUGCUGUUGAUGGAUGGGUCACCAAUUUUGUUCAGGUGAUUCCUUUGGUGACUAUUGCCAUUACUAAUGGAGCCUUCAAAUAGCUGCAAGCAUGAUUUUCUCAACAACUAGAACAACAGAAACUUUAAUCCCAUUAGGCUGGGUCAGUUUUUUUCAUGACGCUUUGUCUGACAAGAACUGCGCUCACUGUUGACUAUGUAAUACUGCCCUCAUCUUUUGUCUGAUCUUGAGAAUGCCUUUAAAUAAGGAAACACCUUGAACACUUAAAAUGUUGAGGGAAUAACUCAACCUGCUGGUUUAUUAUAAAAAAAAAAAACGCAGGAGCAAAUUUCAAUAAACUGAAAACAGAUAAAAUUGCUUCUUGAAUUUUUGUUAUUCUUGGUUGUAGAAAUUUUACAAAUCAAACAACUUAACAUGCUAAAACAAACAAUAAAGUUAGAUUUGAUGAGGAAUAUUUAGUAAGCUAACUACAAUUACAUUUUUUUUUUGUAUAUUUAUAUUUUAUAAUUAUUUUUACUGUGUGCAACUUCCAACAUGCAACUUGGCACAUGGCAUCAGUGCCCCUUCUUUUGUUAGAUGUAUACACUACUUUGUUUGGGGGACAAUUACCAUAUCAAAAUCUGAUGCUUAUAUGGAAAAUUGUUUCAUGGUUUCCUGUCGAUGUGGGAAAGCGUACAACAGGGCACUAUUAAAUUGUGGUCCAUAGUUCUUGGUGUGCUUUCUAGAACAACAAUCCUACCAGGCCUAAAUUGUGGUUUCUAGAUCAAUAAUCCUAUUAUCAAAGCUAUAACAUCCCACUUUGUCGUUGCCAUGGAAAAACAUGGCCGCUUAUGUGUAAGUUAAAGGCUACCUGCAUUGUUAUGAUUUUUCCAAAUCUGAAAUCGAAAUACUCUUGCAGCUCAUCUGGUAAAUGCCCUAUCCCUUAUAUGAAUUGAGAUAGAUUUUGAUUUGAAUGUUGACUUCUCCUUUUUUUCUCCUUCCACACUUUCCCAUUUAUAUGAGAUUUCCAAUUCUGAAGUUCUGGAGACUUAAUCAUUCUUCUGAUCUGACCUAGCAUUUAAUAUGCGGCAAUUGGUAGGUGGCCUGAGACCAAAUAGAAAAUUUGUUUAAGGUGUUCAUUCUAUGCCCUGAUUUGGUGGCUUAUGCCCUCUGCUGAUGUAUCGAGUGCCUCCAACAGGGGACUGAUUCCUCUGCUGAGCUUGUAACCAUUAGUUGGCCCUUGGUUAUUAGUUUUUUUUUCUUCUUCUUCUGUGAGGCUACAUUCUAUCCUUCAAACAAAUUUCAUUCCUUGUACUUGAGUAGUCAAUGGAUGGGUCACCAAUUUUGUUCAGGUGAUUCCUUUGGCGACUAUUGCCAUUACUGUAGGAGCCUCCAAAGAGCUGCAAAUUUAAUUUUCUCAACAACUGAACUGUUGGAAUAAAUGUAAUUAGCUGUCAAUGAGUUGUCAAUUAGUCCUUAUUUUUAGGAGAAAAUUAUUGUACAUUCCUACUAUAAAAUCUAAAUGAAAAGGCUAGACCUCCAUCAAGUUCUCUGAUUCAACAUGGUAUUAGAGCAACCACUCAAAUUCUAGUUGCAGCCAGGGCCUCCUUGCUGCCUCCAAGAUGAUGCAAUUCUUGUUGCUGAGAGAGCAACGUGUAAGAAAACCGACGCUCUUCUUUGCAAUAUGUUAUGACAGACCAUUGAUCCCAAACUAUAUGUUAUUUACAAGGCAUACAAGACUUAUGUUCAGGAUAUGGAUAUGUCUGAAUUUCUUGGCCGCCUAGAAUCCCUGAAGAAGAGUUCAACUCUUUGUUACCAGUUGGUAAUACUACAGAAGAACAAUUGCAGCAACGAGAUAAAUUGUUUAUGGUUCUAGGAUUGACUGCCAUUUGAUCUGACCUUGCUCCGGUCCAGGAUCAAAUAUUAUCCAAUCCUAGAAGAUACCUUUGCUAGACUUCUUUGGGUUUCUUCCUCGUCUUCAGUCAUCAAUGGUUCUCAAGUUGAUUCUUCCGUCUUGGCAUCACAAACCUUUGGCAGAGGAGAGCAAGGAAAUGACAUAGGGUAGUAACUCACAACGAGGUAAUUGUCCUAAAUGCAACUACUGCCAUAGUGGGGCCAUCUUCAAGAACGGUGCCACAAACUACAUGGUCGACCACCACAUACUGCUAAUGUAACUCAGUUUGUUGCAACCAAUUCCUCAACAGAAACAUUUGAGAAUCAUUCCUCUCCGUCCCUUGUUUUGACUGGAAGUGAUUAUGAGGACUAUCUUCAGUAUCAGGCUUCUAAACAGACUGUGUCAUCAUCCACUGUUUUUGUGGUGCACACUAGUAGUUCUAUUGCUUGUGUUACUCGAUCUACCACUCCUAGACCAUGGGUUCUCGAUUUUGGUGCAACUGAUCAUCUCUCUGGACUGAGGUAUGGGACAGAUGAUUGGCGUUGGACGUGAGUCGCAAGGACUUUACUAUCUCGACAAGCCAUCUUCCUUAGCAGCCUGCAUUUCUACUGAAUCUUCAACUCUUCUUCAUAAUCGUUUGGGACAUCCGAGUCUAUCUAAAUUACAAAAGAUGGUCUCGCAUUUUUCUAAUAUUUCCACUUUAAAUUGUGAGUCUUAUCAAGUUGGAAAACAGUCUCGUACUUCGUUUUCAAAGCGUGUCAAUAAUUGGGCUACAUCCCCUUUUGAACUUGUCUAUAGUGAUGUUUGGGGUCCUUGUCAUGUUCUCUAUGUUUUAGGUUUUCGUUACUUUGUCAUUUUCAUUGAAGAUUACUCUCAUUGUACUUGGGUGUUCUUAUUGAAAAACUGUUCAGAGUUAUUUACUACCUUUAAGGACUUCUGUGCUGAAAUUCAAAUUCAAUUUAAUGUUUCUAUCUGGGCCUUCCAUAGUGAUAAUGCUAGAGAAUAUUUCUCAGCUCCUUUCACUACUUUCAUAGCUUCUAAGGGUAUUUUAUAUCAAUUCUUCUGUGCCUAUACACCCCAGCAGAAUGGAGUUGCUGAGCGCAAAAAUCGUCAUUUGAUUGAAACUGCUCGCACUCUUUUACUGCAUAUUCAUGCUCCUUCCCAUUUUUGGGCUGAUGCCGUUCUCAUUGCAUGUUAUCUCAUUAAUCGGAUGCCUUCUUCUGUCUUACAACAUGAGGUCCCUCGCUCCAUCCUUUUCCCUGCUCAAAGUCUUUAUCUCCUUCCACUUCGUGUUUUUGGGUACACUUGUUUUGUUUAUGACAUGACCCCUGGCCGUCCCAAACUUUCAGCCAAGACUAUCAACUGCAUCUUCCUUGGCUACUCACGACUUCAAAAAGGCUAUCAGUGUUACUUUCCUGAUCAGCAACGUUAUUUCAUCUCUGCUGAUGUUACUUUCUUUGAGGCAUCUCCUUUCUUUCUGUCCUCCCAUGUCAGGAGUCGUCCCGUUUUUGAGGUUCUUCCCACUCUUUACCUUUGUUCUCUCUCAUUUGAUACUGCUCCUACUGUCCUUGAAUGUCCCUUUCAGGUUUAUCAUCGCCUUCCACAUCCUCCUGUGGCUGUUGACAAAGAACUUGCUAACUCACCUCGUGCUUCGACAUCCUCACCUACCUCGGCCUAGCCAAUUCCUUCUGAGCCAGUUGUUGAACCUUCUCUUGAGCCCAUUGCCACUCGAAAAGGUAUACGCUUUACUCGCAACCCCCACCCCAUCUACACCUUCCUUAACUAUCAUCACUUGGCUUCACCCUAUUAUGCUUUUUUGUCCACUUUAUCUUCUAUUGCUAUCCCUAAAACUACUAGUGAGGCACUUUCAGACCCAGGGUGGUGCCAAGCCAUGGUUGAUGAGAUGGAUGCUCUACAUUCUAGUGGCAUUCGAGACUUAGUUUCUCUUCCUCCUGGUAAAUCUACUGUUGGUUGUCGUUGGAUCUAUACUAUGAAGGUUAGUCCAGAUGGGAAGGUUGAUCGCCUUAAGGCACGUCUGGUUGCCAAAGGCUACACUUAGAUUUUUGGGCUGGAUUACUGACACUUUUCCUCCGGUGGCUAAGAUUGUCUCCGUACACUUGUUUUUAUCCAUUACCACGAUGAAUCACUGGCUUAUCUAUUAGCUAGAUAUUAAGAAUGCUUUUCUUCAUUGGGAUCUUCAAGAGGAAGUCUAUAUGGAGCAACUGUCUGGCUUUGUUGCUCAGGGGGAGUCUGGAUUAGUAUGCAAACUUCGCUGCUCUCUUUAUGGGUUGAAACAAUCUCGCGAGUUUGGUUUGGACAGUUUAGUACAGUUCUUCAGGAAUUUGGUAUGAAUCGCAGUGAGGCCGACCACUCUGUUUUUUUAUACCACUCAUCAAAUGGUCAAUGCAUUUAUCUAGUGGUUUAUGUGGACGAUAUUGUCGUCACUGGAAGUGAUCAGAAUGGUAUUCUUCAAUUGAAGACACAUUUCUUCAACCAUUUUCAGACUAAAGAUUUGGGUAAGUUGAAAUAUUUUCUUGGCCUUAAGUGGCUUAGUCCAAAAGCGACAUAGUUAUUUCACAAAGGAGGCUAAUAUUCUUGGCCUUAGACAUUCUUCAAGAGGUCGGUUUGCUUGACUGUAAACCGGUUGAUAUUCCUAUGGACCCAAAUAUCAAGCUCUUACAAGGAUAGGGGGAGCUAUUAUCUGACCCUGGUAGAUAUCACCGACUCGUUAGAAAGCUAAACUACCUCAUUAUCACUCAGCCAAACAUUUCUUUUGCUAUUAGUGUAGUUAGUCAGUUUCUGUAGUCUGCAUGUAAUAAUCAUUGGGAUGCUGCCAUUCACAUUCUCAAAUAUAUCAAAGGCGCACCAGGUCAAUAAUUGUUAUAUGAAGAUAAGGGUCAUACCCAGGUGAUUCGGUAUUCUGAUGUUGAUUGGGCAGGAUUUCCUUUAGAUAGACGCUCUACUUCUGGGUACUGUAUUCUAAUUGGUGUCAAUUUGGUAUCUUGGAAGAGUAAGAAGCAGGAUGUGGUUGCUAGGUCUAGUGUUGAAGCAGAAUACCGUGCUAUGGCCUUGGCUAUAUGUGAACUUAUAUGGUUGAAACAAUUGCUUCAAGAAUUCAAAUAUGGCAAGGUGACGCAAAUGAAAUUAAUUUGGGAUAAUCAAGCCGCCUUGCUUAUAGCCUCUAAUUCUAUUUUUCAUGAGAGGACUAAACAUAUAGAAAUUGAUUGUCAUUUCAUUAGAGAAAAUGUUUUAUCUGGAUGUAUUGCCACUAGUUUUGUCAAUUCAGUCGAUCAACUGGUAGACGUCUUCACUAAGUCUUUUCGGGGUCCUCGUAUUAGUUUUAUUUGUAAUAAACUUGGUGCAUAUGACCUAUAUGCUUCAGCUUGAGGGAGAGUAUUGAAAUAAAUGUAAUUAGCUGUCAUAACUGUCAAUGAGUUGUCAAUUAGUCCUUAUUUUUAGGAGAAAAUUAUUGUACAUUCCUACUAUAAACUCUAAAUGAAGAGGCUAGACCUCAAUCAAGUUCUCUGAUUCAACAUAAACCAACACAAGCCUUAAUCCCAAUAGGUUGAGUUAGAAAUUUUUAAUGACGCCUUGUUUGAUGAGAACGGUGGUAAUUGUCAUCUAUGUAACUCCACCUCAUCUUUUAUCCGAGCUUGCGAAUGCCUAUAAAUAGUGAAACACCUUCAACACUAGAAUUGUUGUGGGGAUAACUCAACCUGCUGGCUGAGUUUAUGUAAAAAAAGAAGUCGUCAAUUUCAGUAAAUUCAAAUAGAUAAAAAUGCUUUGUGAAAUUUUGUUAUUUUUGAUUGUAGAAGUUUCACAAAUAAAAAAAAAAACUCAACUUACUAAAACGAACAAUAAAGUUAGGUAUAAUAAGGAAUAGUUAGUAAACUCAAAACAAUUUUAUUUCUCAAGCAUUUCCAUGCUUGUUUAACAUCUUGGGUGAAAAUUAAAUUUUUUCAUAUUUUUUAUUAUUUUUUUACUGCCUGCAACUUGUGACAUGAAGCGUGGCUCGUGGCACAAAUGCCCCUUCUUCUAUUAGAUGUGCACACUAUUUGGUUCCGGUGCAAUUAGCAUAUUAGAACUUGAACUUAUAGGGAAAAGUUUUCCAUGUUGUCCAUUUGAUGUGGAAAGCGUAAAAGAGCGCACUAGUAAAUUGUUGUCCAUAAUUAUUGGUGCCAUUUCUAGAACAACAAUCCUCCUAGGUCUACAACAUCCAUCCAAUCUUUGCAAGCAGGUGGCUUCCAUCUUAACGAAGCUAAAACAUCCAAGUUUGUUGUUGCUUUGGCAAAACCUUGCUGCAUAUGUUUAUGUAAAAGGCUACCUGCAUCAUUAUGAUUUUGCAAAAUCUGAACAAAUUGUUGUCCACUCUUGCUGCUCAUCCAGGAAAUGCCCUAGUCCUUGAACAAAUUGAGAUAGAUUUUGAAUUAAAUGUUGUCUUCUCCUUAUUUUCUCCUUCCAUGUUUUACCAUUUACACGAGAUUUCCAAUUCUAAAUGUUUUGGAGACUUAACCAUUCAUCUGAUUCAGCAUUUAAUGAUUUUCAACAGAUAGGUGGCCUGAGUAGUGCCCUCUGCUGAUUGAUUAUUAAGUGCCUCCAGCAGGGGACUGAUGUCUCCACUGAGCUUGUAUCCUUUACUUGGUUGUUGGUCUUUCAGGUUCUUUUCCAUGAGGCUACAUUCAAUCCUUAGGACAAAUUUCAUCCCUUAUACUUGAGCAUUCGAUGGAUGGGUCACAAUUAUGUUCAGUCGAUGUGGGAAGCCGUAAAAGAGGGCACUAUGAUAUUGUUGUCCGUAAUUAUUGGCGGUUUCUAGAACAACAAUCCUCCUAAGUCUACAACAUCUAUCCAAUGGUU
This is an RNA transcript of Diospyros lotus (date-plum), 12490 nucleotides long. It is a transcript of the gene named thioredoxin-like protein AAED1, chloroplastic, with no coding region annotated. The record is from RefSeq and is a predicted model, not a curated record. The transcript has 4 exons. Lineage: Eukaryota; Viridiplantae; Streptophyta; Magnoliopsida; Ericales; Ebenaceae.